This 570-nucleotide small RNA is filed under the name Pan troglodytes (chimpanzee). RNAcentral describes it as "retained intron". The stretch from base 350 to 470 matches the Rfam family "Metazoan signal recognition particle RNA". The record is from RNAcentral. Lineage: Eukaryota; Metazoa; Chordata; Mammalia; Primates; Hominidae.
GAGGCUGGCCUCUCGAGCUCCUGUGUGAGAAAUCCAUUGGCACGGCCAACAGACCGAUGGGUGCUGGCGAGGCCCUGCGGAGAGUGCUGGAGUGCCUGGCGUCGGGCAUCGUGAUGCCAGCACGCACUGCGGCUUGCUGCCUUCGGCCAGCUCCAUAAAGUCCUGGGCAUGGACCCUCUGCCUUCCAAGAUGCCCAAGAAACCAAAGAAUGAAAACCCAGUGGACUACACCGUUCAGAUCCCACCAAGCACCACCUAUGCCAUUACGCCCAUGAAACGCCCAAUGGAGGAGGACGGGGAGGAGAAGUCGCCCAGCAAAAAGAAGAAGAAGAUUCAGAAGAAAGGUACAGGCCGGGCGCGGUGGCUCACGCCUGUAAUCCCAGCACUUUGGGAGGCCGAGGCGGGAGAAUCGCUUGAGCUCAGGAGUUUUGAGACCACCAGCCUGGGCAACAUGGCGAAACCCCGUCUCUACAAAAAAUACAAAAAUUAGCUGGGUGUGGUGGCGCACCUGUAGUGCCAGCUACUUGGGAGGCUGAGAUGGGAGGAUGGCUUGAGCCUGGGAGGCGGAGGU